AGAUGUUGCAGCCAUCAAGCCACUUACAGCCAUUCCAUUGAGCUCCAGGGUUGACCUGGCCGACCUGGCUGUCUAAGCAGGUGUCCCCUUCCUUCUUCACCACUCCACAUGCCUCCGUCAUCAAGCUGCUGGCUCCCUGGAAGAAGAGGUCCUUCCCCAGUGGCGGAGGACCGUCCUUUGGUUAAGGGGAUCCGAGUGGCUGUACACCCCUUCUGAAAACUCCAAACAAGUGUGCAAGGUCCAUUAAUAGGAAACUGUAGGGUAGUCAAGCUUCCAAGACUCCAGACACAUCCAAAUGAGGGCUGCAUAUGGCAGUCUGCCUUUCUUU
Molecule: small nuclear RNA, 328 nt
Filed under: Camelus ferus (Wild Bactrian camel)
Lineage: Eukaryota; Metazoa; Chordata; Mammalia; Artiodactyla; Camelidae
Description: 7SK RNA
Rfam family: 7SK RNA
About the family: 7SK was discovered as an abundant small nuclear RNA in the mid-70s but a possible function has only recently been suggested. Two independent studies have found that 7SK RNA binds the CDK9/cyclin T complex (known as elongation factor P-TEFb). P-TEFb activates transcription by phosphorylating the C-terminal domain of RNA polymerase II.
Source: Rfam by way of RNAcentral